RNAcentral lists this ribosomal RNA (497 nucleotides) under uncultured bacterium. Its description in RNAcentral is "partial 16S ribosomal RNA". It matches the Rfam family "Bacterial small subunit ribosomal RNA", at positions 28 to 507 of the family's 1533-position model. The record is from RNAcentral.
GAUGAACGCUGGCGGCGUGCCUAAUACAUGCAAGUCGAGCGAACAGACGAGGAGCUUGCUCCUCUGACGUUAGCGGCGGACGGGUGAGUAACACGUGGAUAACCUACCUAUAAGACUGGGAUAACUUCGGGAAACCGGAGCUAAUACCGGAUAAUAUAUUGAACCGCAUGGUUCAAUAGUGAAGGACGGUUUUGCUGUCACUUAUAGAUGGAUCCGCGCCGCAUUAGCUAGUUGGUAAGGUAGCGGCUUACCAAGGCGACGAUGCGUAGCCGACCUGAGAGGGUGAUCGGCCACACUGGAACUGAGACACGGUCCAGACUCCUACGGGAGGCAGCAGUAGGGAAUCUUCCGCAAUGGGCGAAAGCCUGACGGAGCAACGCCGCGUGAGUGAUGAAGGUCUUCGGAUCGUAAAACUCUGUUAUUAGGGAAGAACAAAUGUGUAAGUAACUAUGCACGUCUUGACGGUACCUAAUCAGAAAGCCACGGCUAACUACGUG